Molecule: ribosomal RNA, 481 nt
Filed under: uncultured bacterium
Lineage: Bacteria
Description: partial 16S ribosomal RNA
Rfam family: Bacterial small subunit ribosomal RNA
Source: RNAcentral
GAUGAACGCUGGCGGCGUGCUUAACACAUGCAAGUCGAACGAAGCACUUUAUUUGAUUUCCUUCGGGACUGAUUAUUUUGUGACUGAGUGGCGGACGGGUGAGUAACGCGUGGGUAACCUGCCUUGUACAGGGGGAUAACAGUUGGAAACGGCUGCUAAUACCGCAUAAGCGCACAGCAUCGCAUGAUGCAGUGUGAAAACCUCCGGUGGUAUAAGAUGGACCCGCGUUGGAUUAGCUAGUUGGUGAGGUAACGGCCCACCAAGGCGACGAUCCAUAGCCGACCUGAGAGGGUGACCGGCCACAUUGGGACUGAGACACGGCCCAAACUCCUACGGGAGGCAGCAGUGGGGAAUAUUGCACAAUGGGCGAAAGCCUGAUGCAGCGACGCCGCGUGAGCGAAGAAGUAUCUCGGUAUGUAAAGCUCUAUCAGCAGGGAAGAUAAUGACGGUACCUGACUAAGAAGCACCGGCUAAAUACGUG